AUGAUGGGACUCCUCAUCCGCUGCCUGUGCCUGAUACUCUGGGGGUUACAUUCCGGCCGGUCGGCAGAUGUGGUCCAGACGCCUCCAUUAUUGGUGGCUAAGAUUGGGCAGAACGUCUCCCUGAACUGCUCCCAUGAUGAGUCCAGCCAUAUCACAAAGUACUGGUACCGGAAGAAGUACGGAACCAUUGGUAUUAUUGGGUAUUCGUAUAAUGCAGGAGAACCGGAUAUGGAGAAGGAGUUUCCCAAGGAGAAGAUGCAGAUGGUCCCUGAUUCUCCUCAGAAGACCACCCUGCGCAUCUACCACCUGUCCGUCCAGGACGGCGCCAUCUAUUACUGCGCCAGCAGCAUCCACAGCGAGGAAAGAGGACGGCGAGACUGUGCAGAACCAGAGCAAUGA
This is a non-coding RNA of Hyla sarda, 399 nucleotides long. Lineage: Eukaryota; Metazoa; Chordata; Amphibia; Anura; Hylidae. The record is from the annotation of a RefSeq genome assembly.